UAAAAACAAUGAAUUAAAAAAACAAUAGUGCAUUGAACAUUUUCUAAAUAGAAGCUGAGACAAAAUCAAUAAAGUUUCAGGUGAAGACCUGUUUUUCUCUAUUAAGUGUUUAGGCUUUUUCGGUGUGUUUUGUUAGGUUAGUCUAUUUGGAGCACAAGGAUAUAAAAGAGUCGGAAAAUUAACAAGCACCAAAAAACAGAUUAUUAUUCCAAAAUAAUCCAACCAUUUUUCAGUGAACUGAAAAGCAAUACUAGAAUACAACACCAGAAUAUUGAGUCAUCCAUCUCCUUGUUGAUGAGGUCCGAAAGGGCAUAAACAUGACAGAUAGCCGACAUGUUUUGAAUCAGUUUCCCUUGGCUCUGCUGAUGCUAUGAAGAGUUCACCAGUGGAAGAAGAUUUAAAACAGAGGUCAGCACAUUUGUAUUAGUCCCACACGGUAUUUUAUGUCAUUGGGAUUAUUUUUCCCUCCGAGAACCGACUGUCAAAACAACUGAAAUUCAAGUGAGUUAAGAAAUAUAUUUUUUCCAACCUUAUUUUUUCAGGGGAGUUGAGAAUAAGUUCUUAUUUACAGUAAUGACCUGAGGGGGCUAAUUAAAAUGAAGUGAGCCAGAAAUCACUGGCAAACUGUUGUUUCUCCUUCUGUUACGGGUUGCUUCCCCUCCGCCCUGAGUCAGGUGGUUCGGUCCCUGUUUGUUUUUUCACCUGAAAUGCUGGGGGUGUGUUCAGUAGGGCAAGGGGCGUGGCAGAGUCUUCACUGCAGAGCCAUUCUUCGCAGCUGCACCUCAUCCACAUGAUUCACUCCAGCAAUAUUUAAACCCGGGCUGAUCACCUCUUCGGCGCCAGUUCGUUAUCUACUACUCAUGUGACCUGCUGCUUCCUCUGCUGAGCCUACUAGCUCCUGGCCUCACCACCCAGCCUUCGCCGUCAGCUCUCCCCCAGCUUCGGACCUGCCUACACAGUAUUCUCGGAGUACCCCGGCUCUCCAUUAAAACCCUUUUUUUGAACCUACCUUACGUGGUCGGUGUGAUUUCUCUGCGCUCUGGGUCAGACGUACUCUAACACCUUCAUGUAAUGGGAGUGAACUAUGUGGGUGAUACUCAGCC
Molecule: long non-coding RNA, 1103 nt
Organism: Esox lucius (northern pike)
Lineage: Eukaryota; Metazoa; Chordata; Actinopteri; Esociformes; Esocidae
Source: Ensembl